GACUGUAUCGUCGCCCUCAACAGG
RNAcentral lists this non-coding RNA (24 nucleotides) under Arabidopsis thaliana (thale cress). Lineage: Eukaryota; Viridiplantae; Streptophyta; Magnoliopsida; Brassicales; Brassicaceae. The record is from RNAcentral.